This is a non-coding RNA of Gossypium raimondii (Peruvian cotton), 123 nucleotides long. NCBI's taxonomy places the organism in Eukaryota, Viridiplantae, Streptophyta, Magnoliopsida, Malvales, Malvaceae. The record is from Rfam.
AAUAGGAGAAUGACAAAUCUAAUUUUUCCUCAUGAUUUUUAGCAUUCUCCUCUUAAAAAAAUUUAAAUCCAACUAAAAAUGCUAAAAAUUAGGAGGAAAAAUAUGAUUUAUCAUUAUUCUAUU